Molecule: ribosomal RNA, 497 nt
Filed under: uncultured bacterium
Lineage: Bacteria
Description: partial 16S ribosomal RNA
Rfam family: Bacterial small subunit ribosomal RNA
Source: RNAcentral
GACGAACGCUGGCGGCGUGCCUAAUACAUGCAAGUUGAGCGCUGAAGGUUGGUACUUGUACCAACUGGAUGAGCAGCGAACGGGUGAGUAACGCGUGGGGAAUCUGCCUUUGAGCGGGGGACAACAUUUGGAAACGAAUGCUAAUACCGCAUAAAAACUUUAAACACAAGUUUUAAGUUUGAAAGAUGCAAUUACAUCACUCAAAGAUGAUCCCGCGUUGUAUUAGCUAGUUGGUGAGGUAAAGGCUCACCAAGGCGAUGAUACAUAGCCGACCUGAGAGGGUGAUCGGCCACAUUGGGACUGAGACACGGCCCAAACUCCUACGGGAGGCAGCAGUAGGGAAUCUUCGGCAAUGGACGAAAGUCUGACCGAGCAACGCCGCGUGAGGGAAGAAGGUUUUCGGAUCGUAAAACUCUGUUGGUAGAGAAGAACGUUGGUGAGAGUGGAAAGCUCAUCAAGUGACGGUAACUACCCAGAAAGGGACGGCUAACUACGUG